AGCAGUAGCCGCGGGAAAACGUAGGGUGCAAGCGUUAAUCGGAAUUACUGGGCGUAAAGCGUGCGCAGGCGGUUAUAUAAGACAGAUGUGAAAUCCCCGGGCUCAACCUGGGAACUGCAUUUGUGACUGUAUAGCUAGAGUACGGCAGAGGGGGAUGGAAUUCCGCGUGUAGCAGUGAAAUGCGUAGAUAUGCGGAGGAACACCGAUGGCGAAGGCAAUCCCCUGGGCCUGUACUGACGCUCAUGCACGAAAGCGUGGGGAGCAAACAGGAUUAGAUACCCCGGUAGUCCCUGUCUCUUAUAC
RNAcentral lists this ribosomal RNA (303 nucleotides) under uncultured bacterium. Its description in RNAcentral is "partial 16S ribosomal RNA". It matches the Rfam family "Bacterial small subunit ribosomal RNA", at positions 507 to 807 of the family's 1533-position model. The record is from RNAcentral.